GCAAAUGUAACAUAUUGUUCAGAAGCAAAUGUGCUAUUUUAGUACUUCCCCGUUCAUGUAAACUGGAUAUAAAUAGCUUGUCCCAGCUGCAAAACACUGAUAAGUAAAGUGGUAACAUCCGACAAUCUGGAUCGAGUCCCUGAAACUCAGGCCAAAGGAGAUUACGAGAAUGUGAAUCAGGACAAGACAACAGUUAGGAACAGGACAUCAAAGGACCCUUUUCAAGUGGCCUGAAGUGGUUGAAGAUGAACCUUCCAUUAAGAAAGCAUGCUGGGACAAAGAUGGAGGUUGGAGAUAAACUUUCCAUCACAAAGGCAUGUUGUGACAAAGAUGAAGGUUGAAGAUGAACCUUAAAUCAAGAAGCCAUGUUUGAACAAAGAUGGGGGUUAAAGAUUGGCUUUACAUCAAGAAGGCAUGCUGGGAUGAGGAUUAAGUUACUGACAUAUACUUUGCAGUGCUGUUCUAUAUUUUUAGAGUUUUAGAUUUACCAUGCCAGGUGUUCUAUAUUUUUACUGAUGUACUUUUGUACUGAUGUACUGGUCACAGUGUUACUGAUUCAAUAUUGAACUUUUAUGUUAAGGUUUGUCUGUCUUAAGAGUUUUUAAGUGGGUUGUUUGCAAUGGGUGCAAGUGAUGGUCUGGCAUUAUUGUCGUAGAAAAGAAAAUUCUUUGGUGUUGGGUAGGUGUUGCGCAUGUAAAGCACUAGAGAUGGGUACUUUUCAGUUGAAACACCUGUCAUGUAAUUGUGGUGCGAACUUGUCAGUUAAAGGAACGGUAAACACCUUGUAAUUCCAACAUUUUUCUACAGUCUUCCAAUAGAUUAACAUCAGCAGAAUCUGUACAUCAUUAGAACAGUAAAAGGGUACAACAUAAAUAAUGAACCUAUAUUGCAUGGUUGUAAUAAAUAGUGCUUAUUUAUGCAUAGUAAAACAACCACAAAGUGUUUACUGUCCCUUUAAGGGUUUCUAAUUGUUGUUGGGCUAUCCAGCUGAUUAAAAGUAAACUGUGAUUGGGGGGCAUCCCUGGACAGUUGUACAGUGGCACAGCUUGCAUCUCAGAUAAAUAGCGAUGGGUAUGGGGAGGUCAUGGUUAAGGGUAUCAGUUGUGGUGGUCAUACUUAAGCUUAAUAGCAACAUGGAGUCCCAUUGGGGUUAAUAAUGAAUGUCAGGGUCUCAGAUAGGGUUAAUAUCUACUGUUCAUGUUUUAAGGAAUACAGUUAAAAAAUAAGGCUCAGUUUGUCUAGUUACCAGCCCUCUCUCAGCAAUCCUCCUGGAGUCCUUCUAUAAUGGUGGAGGAUUGUGCUCUAUUCCACUCUUCUCCACCUAUCACUUCCCUACUAGAUGCCAUUCAUUCUCUCAUCCUAGAAUCUCUAUCUCCACUUCGAUUCCAUGCACUCUCUCACAAUUUUAACUCUUCUCUCUUUAGUGCUAUUGUUCUGUCGUAUUUCUAUCUGUGAUCAUACAAAACCCUAAUACAUUUCCCUUGACCUAACCAGCCUAAUCGUCUUGUGUCCCUUCUGUAUUUUAGACUAAACCCCUCCUAUACUUUAUCUACUCAGAUUCUCUUCUGGACAACCUACAGUUUGACUCCUGCAUAUCCCACAGAAAUAACCCUAACAAUAACCAAAUGUCUUUCACAGAUCAAAAGAAUGUCACUAGACCCUGUUCAUGCUUCUAGACAUGUCUGCUGCCUUUGACUAAGUUGAUCAGUCUUCUACAAAACCUGUAGCAAGUAUCUGAAAGAGAUUUGUUUUAUCUCUGCAACUGGUCCUGUGUUCCUCUCUUCUUCACUUCUUCUUCAUUCAAAAUGGAUCACUUUACCCAAGGGUCCAUGCUACUCAUUCACCCUACACCCUCUAUCUAUGGGAAAUCCUGACAUCACUUGGAUUUGAAUAUCAUUGUUAUGCUGAACACUCAGUUGUAUCUUUCUACACCUCACUGUGUACCUACAACUCAGACAUCUGAAACCAUUGUAUCUUAGGCAGCUCUUUAUUGUAUUAAACCUAAAGAAACAUGUAUGUGUAGUAAUAAAGUGCUCUGAUUUGUUAGCAAAGCUUA
This is a long non-coding RNA of Bombina bombina (fire-bellied toad), 2056 nucleotides long. RefSeq lists it as uncharacterized. The transcript is spliced from 2 exons. The record is from RefSeq and is a predicted model, not a curated record. NCBI's taxonomy places the organism in Eukaryota, Metazoa, Chordata, Amphibia, Anura, Bombinatoridae.